Molecule: ribosomal RNA, 471 nt
Filed under: Peptostreptococcaceae bacterium canine oral taxon 005
Lineage: Bacteria; Bacillati; Bacillota; Clostridia; Peptostreptococcales; Peptostreptococcaceae
Description: bacterial SSU rRNA
Rfam family: Bacterial small subunit ribosomal RNA
Source: RNAcentral
GAGUUUGAUCAUGGCUCAGGAUGAACGCUGGCGGCGUGCUUAACACAUGCAAGUCGAACGGAACGUAACCGAGGAAAUUUUUCGAAGUGGAAUCGGUUACGUUUAGUGGCGGACGGGUGCGUAACACGUGGGCAACCUGCCCUGCUUUUCGGAAUAACGCCGGGAAACCGUCGCUAAUGCCGAAUGAUAUGAGGAGAAGGCAUCUUCUUUUCAUCAAAGAAUUUCGAAGCAGGAUGGGCCCGCGCCGUAUUAGCUGGUUGGUGAGGUAACGGCUCACCAAGGCGACGAUCCGUAGCCGACCUGAGAGGGUGAUCGGCCACACUGGAACUGAGACACGGUCCAGACUCCUACGGGAGGCAGCAGUGGGGAAUAUUGCACAAUGGGCGAAAGCCUGAUGCAGCAACGCCGCGUGAGCGAUGAAGGCUUUCGAGUCGUAAAGCUCUGUCGCAGGGGAAGACAAAGACGUACCCU